UAAUACGGAGGGUGCAAGCGUUAAUCGGAAUUACUGGGCGUAAAGCGUGCGUAGGUGGUUUAAUAAGUCAUUUGUAAAAGCCCCGGGCUCAACCUGGGAAGGUCAGAUGAUACUGUUAGACUGGAGUAUAGGAGAGGGUAGUGGAAUUUCCGGUGUAGCGGUGAAAUGCGUAGAGAUCGGAAGGAACACCAGUGGCGAAGGCGGCUACCUGGCCUGAUACUGACACUGAGGCACGAAAGCGUGGGGAGCAAACAGG
RNAcentral lists this ribosomal RNA (256 nucleotides) under uncultured bacterium. Its description in RNAcentral is "partial 16S ribosomal RNA". It matches the Rfam family "Bacterial small subunit ribosomal RNA", at positions 521 to 776 of the family's 1533-position model. The record is from RNAcentral.